Non-coding RNA from Ceratotherium simum simum (southern white rhinoceros), 84 nucleotides. NCBI's taxonomy places the organism in Eukaryota, Metazoa, Chordata, Mammalia, Perissodactyla, Rhinocerotidae. The record is from RefSeq and is a predicted model, not a curated record.
CCUUGUCAAAAAUCAAGUGACCAUAAAUGUAAAGGUCUAGUUCUGGACUCUCAAUUUUACCCCAUUGUUUGAUAUAUCUAAAUU